GACGUAGGGGGCCAGCGUUGCUCGGAAUUACUGGGUGUAAAGGGUUCGUAGGCGGUGUUGCAAGUCGGGAGUGAAAUCUCUGGGCUCAACCCAGAGUCUGCUUCCGAAACUGCCGUGCUUGAGUGUGGGAGAGGCGCGUGGAAUUGCAGGUGUAGCGGUGAAAUGCGUAGAUAUCUGCAGGAACACCCGUGGCGAAAGCGGCGCGCUGGACCACUACUGACGCUGAGGAACGAAAGCUAGGGGAGCAAACAGG
RNAcentral lists this ribosomal RNA (253 nucleotides) under uncultured bacterium. RNAcentral describes it as "partial 16S ribosomal RNA". It matches the Rfam family "Bacterial small subunit ribosomal RNA", at positions 524 to 776 of the family's 1533-position model. The record is from RNAcentral.